GAUGAACGCUGGCGGCGUGCCUAACUCAUGCAAGUCGAGCGAUCUUCUUCGGAAGAGAGCGGCGGACGGGUGAGUAACGCGUGGGUAACCUGCCCUGUACACACGGAUAACAUACCGAAAGGUAUGCUAAUACGGGAUAAUAUGCUUUUAUCGCAUGGUAGAAGUAUCAAAGCUCCGGCGGUACAGGAUGGACCCGCGUCUGAUUAGCUAGUUGGUAAGGUAACGGCUUACCAAGGCGACGAUCAGUAGCCGACCUGAGAGGGUGAUCGGCCACAUUGGAACUGAGACACGGUCCAAACUCCUACGGGAGGCAGCAGUGGGGAAUAUUGCACAAUGGGCGAAAGCCUGAUGCAGCAACGCCGCGUGAGCGAUGAAGGCCUUCGGGUCGUAAAGCUCUGUCCUCAAGGAAGAUAAUGACGGUACUUGAGGAGGAAGCCCCGGCUAACUACGUGCCAGCAGCCGCCGUAA
Molecule: ribosomal RNA, 468 nt
Filed under: uncultured bacterium
Lineage: Bacteria
Description: partial 16S ribosomal RNA
Rfam family: Bacterial small subunit ribosomal RNA
Source: RNAcentral